This is a long non-coding RNA of Mesocricetus auratus (golden hamster), 3012 nucleotides long. RefSeq lists it as uncharacterized. The record is from RefSeq and is a predicted model, not a curated record. The transcript is spliced from 3 exons. NCBI's taxonomy places the organism in Eukaryota, Metazoa, Chordata, Mammalia, Rodentia, Cricetidae.
GCUGACUGACUCUAUUCACCUCACGCCGCCGCUUAAACAUUGAUACUGAUUCUCGGCCAGCCAAUCCGCGUGGGGAUCCAGGCCCUGCCCUCUCGGCCCACGCCCAAUGGGAGGUGGAGAAACGGGCGAGGGGGCGGGGCCAGCAGCCCCAGCGCUUUAGAGUCAUUGACGAGCCGAGUCCGACCCGAGAGCUAUGCAGCCAGGGGAGCCCGCGCUCGGUCACGGCGCCCGGGAACCGAGCCGUGGCUCGUCGGGGUCCUCGGCUCCAGGGCGAGGCAGCUGGCCUGUCUUUCUCUAGAGAGAGAGAGACAAAAAGUUUGACGGCGGCUCGAUUUUAUUUGGGGAUCGGAAGGCACGGGCCAGGCUUGAGAACCACGGCAUACUUUGGACAGUGAGGGAGCUGCGGUCUUCCUGGUGCAUUUCUGUUCACACACAUUCGAACUCACGUCGCCAGCUCACACACACGCGCGCACACACACUCACACGCACAGACACACACACACACAGACUGAGGGAGUUGCAGAUUUCCUGGCUUCUCGUGCACUGAAGGGGGUGCCGAGUGUGUGUGUGCGCACGCGCGUGUGCGGCUGUGUGUGUGUGUGUGUGUGUGUGUGUGUGUGUGUACGUACACUUCAGUGAGUGCCUGUGAAGUCCAGUGCUGGAGAGCCUACUGUGCCAGCUACCUAGGGAGGGAGCAAACACGCCGCAAGCAACAGCAAUCAAUAUGUAACUUUCCUCAUCCUCAGAGAAAUCCCCGCUGUCCCCAGGCACCCAUGCAAGGAAAGUCACUUGAUUAUGAAAGUGUUUCAGAAGAAAAGCCGACGCCGGUGAGGAGACAGGCAGUGCCUCCUCGGAGGAAAAAGCCUCUCUUAAGACAUGUUUUGCAGCUUCAUGAAACUGGAAUCUGCUGAAUAGUAUUUGGGGCUCUACCCUUCAGCCAUCUCCUAUCAUAAUCCACAUUCAGUGCACUCCAGCAUCCCUCGACACCCAAUAGCUUUAUUGUCUGGUUCACCUCUGUUCACUUUACUAAACUUCCAAAUAGCAAUAUUAUAUUUUUCCAAACUAAGUAGUCAUUGAUAAUAUUUACAAAAUCUCUGUGUAUAAAAGCUGAACUGUUAGGCAAGGACUCACAUCAGUAGGAGAUCAAUGAUUCAAAGAUUCCUGUUCUGUAAGUAUAAACACACACACACACACACACACACACACACACACACACACACACACACCUGGCUCUAAAUCCCUAGUCUCCACCAACCCAACAGUCGCCAAACACGCUUUUGCCUAAGCGUCUAUCACAAAUGUCCACAAGUCAAGACCGGUUGCCUGUGAUCUAGCAGUCUGCAAAGAGGAAACUGAUUCAUUGAAAUCGAGAAGGUGGACUCUACAGUGUUGCUUUGGGUGGUUCCUAUUCUCUGGCCAAGGAUCAAGAUGAGAUGCAGUUGACUGCAUUUGUCCAAAUUCCGAAUGACCUAUCCGCACCAGAAGAGGCUCCUAUCAUCUGCAGGAUAUGGGAGCUUUGUAGGCAGCAUGGAUGUGUGAUGGGAAGAGCAAGACCACUUGAAAUCUCAAUCUCUUCUUGCUUCAUUUGACGGAGAACUCUACCCAGGCUCCAAAACAGAUCUAGGGAGUACUCUUCUACUGAGCUUUCUCUCCAAUCCAGUUUGCUUGCAAUGGCUAAUCUCUUCACCAUCCUGUUUAUAGUUGAGUGUUUUAAAGAUUUAAAAAUGUGUUUUCUUAGUUGAUAUUUUCAUUGAUCUAUCCAUUGUUUUAUAUAUUUGAAAAUGUUUUACUUCUGACAUAUAUGCUUAGUUGUGAAUAACUCAUAAUUUUCUUCUGUUUAUUUACUGAGUUGUUUGCUUCUUAAUGUGUGACAACAGGAACAAAAUUAUAAAAGAACACAGACACACAUUCAAAAUAUCACAUGACAUUUUACACAAUGUUUGUCAAAUGUAAGGUUAGGAUUCUCACUUCUUGAAGAAAAUAUAUACCAAAUAACAGCAAAAUUCUGUUGCCAGUUUUGGCUGCUGGAAUUGACAUGCUUUUUCAUAAUGGGCAGGGCAUUUCUUGUGUGACUUCUACUGAUGAUUUCCCUGAUGAUCUUAAGUGUAGUUUUACCCAUUAUUUUUGAGAAAUACUUGAUAUGUAUAAAGCUAACAUUCCCAUUUGCCUGACUACAUAACAGACAUGUGAUCAAAAUUUAUCACUUAAACUAGUUAACUUACUCCAAAGCACUAACGAAUAUUUGCCUGCUUCUAGAGUUUGUAGAGAGAAUUUGCUAAAAGAAAUCUUAUUUAAUAAAAAAUACUUUAAAUUAUAGCACUGUUUGGGUUUUUCCAUGUUGUUAUAAGUCACAAAAUUGUUUUAUAACUAUAUUUCUAAUUUUUUAGGGUGAAGAAUAAACUUAAUAAUUUAUUUUAUAUUCCCAAUUUGAAUGUCUUAGUAUAAAUUACCAAUAAUGUAUUUUCAAAAUGUGUUUUAUUCAUAGCUUCUUUUUUCUUUUUGACAGCAUCUCAAUAUUUAGCCUUUGUUGGAACUCAAUGUAUAUACUAGAUUCCCCCUUGAAUUAAAAAAUAUCUGCCUGCCUUCAACUCCUGAAAGCUGGGAUUAUAGGUAUAUGCACUGCCAUGCCCACUGCGCAGCCUGUGUCCAAGAAUGUGCGGAGGGAGUCAGGGAUUGACAACACCGAAGGCUCCUAAAGAAGGCUCUCCUUUAUUCCUCCCCUGGCUGGAGGGGUGGUGGGUGGCUAGAAAGAGGCGGUUAGUCUUUGGAAAAGGUCGAGGUCAGGGCGGUUCCCGUGGGCCAGCCCUUUUCAGGAACUUAUUGCCCUGGGCACUGCAUUGUUUUUAGUAAACAUGUUUUUAAUAAACAUUGUCUUACAGCUGCCUGGUCCCAGGCUGAUGGGGAAGUGGGUCUCUGCUCAAGGUCUGGUGUCCCCACAAUGCACCAUACUUGGUGCUAGUCAUUGCCUUUUGUAACAAGAAAUGUCCAAUAAAACACAUUAUACUAUGCUAA